This 466-nucleotide ribosomal RNA is filed under the name uncultured bacterium. RNAcentral describes it as "partial 16S ribosomal RNA". It matches the Rfam family "Bacterial small subunit ribosomal RNA", at positions 28 to 507 of the family's 1533-position model. The record is from RNAcentral.
GAUGAACGCUGGCGGCGUGCUUAACACAUGCAAGUCGAACGAUGAAGCCCAGCUUGCUGGGUGGAUUAGUGGCGAACGGGUGAGUAACACGUGAGUAACCUGCCCUUAACUCUGGGAUAAGCCUGGGAAACUGGGUCUAAUACCGGAUAGGAGCGUCCACCGCAUGGUGGGUGUUGGAAAGAUUUAUCGGUUUUGGAUGGACUCGCGGCCUAUCAGCUUGUUGGUGAGGUAAUGGCUCACCAAGGCGACGACGGGUAGCCGGCCUGAGAGGGUGACCGGCCACACUGGGACUGAGACACGGCCCAGACUCCUACGGGAGGCAGCAGUGGGGAAUAUUGCGCAAUGGGCGCAAGCCUGAUGCAGCGACGCCGCGUGAGGGAUGACGGCCUUCGGGUUGUAAACCUCUUUCAGUAGGGAAGAAGCGAAAGUGACGGUACCUGCAGAAGAAGCACCGGCUAACUACGUG